GCCAUCGUCAUCCAUCGCCAUCGUCAUUACCUGUGGCGAACAACGAGGGAGGUCAGACACCUAAAUCUACAAGGACAAAAAAAUGGAAUCAAAGAUCGUCCUACUCGUUGGCCUGAUGGUGGUGUCGCUGAUCGUGUGUUCUCAAGGCCAUUUGACAGUAGGCCGGAGUUUAGGAGCCCGUCAGCAAGUUGACCAGCGACGUGAAACGAUUGCGCGUGCGCGCGCGCAAAAUGACAGGAGACAAGAGGAAGCGAAUCAUGAUUCCUAUCUGGACAAAUUUUUGGAGAGCAGGAGAAAAGACGGCUUUGAUAGUUAUAGAGGUUACUGAAGGCUUCAUCGUCUACAGCAUUUUAAAGGAGUGCACAACUUCCGAUGGGCUAAAAGACUACGCAGGAACAGUUGACUAGAGUCAUAAAGUUUUCAAAAAAUAUAUAUUUUGAUCAUGUAAUACAGUGUACAAACCAGUGAUAGAAAAAAGAAAAAGUGAUAAACAA
Nematostella vectensis (starlet sea anemone) is the source of this 494-nucleotide long non-coding RNA. RefSeq lists it as uncharacterized. The record is from RefSeq and is a predicted model, not a curated record. Lineage: Eukaryota; Metazoa; Cnidaria; Anthozoa; Actiniaria; Edwardsiidae. The transcript is spliced from 3 exons.